This is a long non-coding RNA of Micropterus dolomieu (smallmouth bass), 1136 nucleotides long. RefSeq lists it as uncharacterized. The transcript is spliced from 2 exons. The record is from RefSeq and is a predicted model, not a curated record. Lineage: Eukaryota; Metazoa; Chordata; Actinopteri; Centrarchiformes; Centrarchidae.
UUUAACCACGAGGCGUCUAUCUGGUUUAAAUGCCGGACAUGAUUUCUUUGUUUCUUGUUGUGUUCACACUUCAAUUCCCCGUUUUCAUUACCUCAUCUACUUGCAUAUGGCCCGGAUACAUAUGUGCUGUAGAACAAGCGAGGCUAGGCCAAAAGCAGCGACAAAGGGCCUCUUAACGUUUCUUUAUCAACAGUUUUUUUUUAGGGCUUGACAGACAGACAAGCACGAGAGCUGACAAACUGCCUUACGGGGCUGUAGCCUACCGUAGAGCCCUAUUACUUAGCAGAGCCGCCUGAUCGAUAAGUUCGAUCGGUUUCGAGGCCGGUUAUUGUUAGGGUCUUUACCUCACAGUCGUAGAGGUCCGUUAGCUGGUCGAUAAUCCACUCCUCCAGGUUCAGUCUCUUCCUCAGCUCCUUACGGUCGUAUUUGACGGUCACGCGUCCCUGCUUCCGAACGGGUGUCUCCGGUUCCUCCGUGGUGCCGGCCGGCGUCUGAAAAUACACCCGGGGUUGAGGGCUCGUCUCCGGGCUUGUUACAGCAGCCAUGGUCGCUCGAGUUGGGGAGCAGCAGAAGAACUAAAAAUCGCCCCCGGAGGUGUGGAAGUGUGAAAGGGGCGACGGAGAGGAGGUGAAGCGGUAUGUGGACGUGCGGCUGUUCGCUUUUCCGCACUGAGAAACCCCGACUGAUAAACGUGUGACUUGAAAUCCCCCGAAGAAAAAACAACGCUGGACCUGAUGCUUUUGUUGUCCAAAAUCGCUCAAAGGGACAUUGGCAGUGGCCGGUCGCUUCCACAAAACAAAAGUCCCCACGAGAGGUGCGUGCGCGCUCUCAGGCUGGACCCGAGCGCAUCCGACGUAACUGGGGAAAAAAAGAAAGAAGAUCAAAUGGGUUUUUUUUCCAACUUUGAUGACCAGUUCAGUCCCCCUUGUUUUAUCUGCUUCUUCUCCUACACCUCCCCACCCCCCAUUUCCUGUAACGUUCACAUGUGACCCCCCUGGAACCCACUGUUCUUCUCAUUUUAACACAACCCUCUUGGCAGGAGGAAAAGCUCUUCUGCUAGCAUCAUCAAACAUGAACCUGAAAUAAAGGCAUUUUGUCUGUGUGUUCUCACCCCACUUUAAAAUACUGCCAUUGAA